AACAACAACAACAACAGCAAUAACAUCAAAUAGAUGCAUAAUUAAAGGCACGAAUGCUUGUUUUCUAAACUAUGGCACAGUACAACGAAGAGUGUAAUAAACUGCGACAACAACUCUUAGACUGUGUACUUCAAUCACGCUGUUACCGAAUAGAAAAUAAGACCCCCAGAGAAUGCAUCAAUAGAGGAGGAAACAUGCCAGAGGAAUGCAAGAGCCAUCAUAUUGACCUUGUGUACUGCAGAACACCUCAUUUAAAAAAAACAGUGGAAGAAAAACAUAGAAAUUUGAACGAAACCUUCAUAAACAGAUGACGGUGGUUUAAACUUAUUUUAAUUUACCUAUUGACAUUAUACAAAUGGUUUUAUUACCAAAUAAAGUGCUUUUACAAGUA
Molecule: long non-coding RNA, 391 nt
Organism: Dreissena polymorpha
Lineage: Eukaryota; Metazoa; Mollusca; Bivalvia; Myida; Dreissenidae
Exons: 3
Source: RefSeq, a predicted model, not a curated record